AGUUGAUCCUGGCUUACGAUGAACGCUAGCGGCAGGCUUAACACAUGCAAGUCGAGGGGCAUCGGGAGUAGCAAUACUGCCGGCGACCGGCGCAAGGGUGCGUAACGCGUGAGCAACAUGCCCGUAUCAGGGGGAUAAUCCAUGGAAACGUGGUCUAAUACCCCAUAGUAAUUAUGUAAGGCAUCUUAUAUAAUUUAAAGCUUUGGUGGAUACGGAUUGGCUCGCGUGACAUUAGCUAGAUGGUAAGGUAACGGCUUACCAUGGCUACGAUGUCUAGGGGUUCUGAGAGGAAGGUCCCCCACACUGGAACUGAGACACGGUCCAGACUCCUACGGGAGGCAGCAGUGAGGAAUAUUGGACAAUGGAUGGAAAUCUGAUCCAGCCAUGCCGCGUGCCAGGAAGACGGCCCUAUGGGUUGUAAACUGCUUUUGUAUGGGAGCAAUAAGGGCUACGCGUAGUCCGAUGAGAGUACCAUACGAAUAAGCACCGGCUAACUCCGUGCCAGCCGCCGC
This 512-nucleotide ribosomal RNA is filed under the name uncultured bacterium. RNAcentral describes it as "bacterial SSU rRNA". It matches the Rfam family "Bacterial small subunit ribosomal RNA", at positions 10 to 518 of the family's 1533-position model. The record is from RNAcentral.